GAGGAAUAUUGGUCAAUGGACGCAAGUCUGAACCAGCCAUGCCGCGUGCAGGAAGACGGCUCUAUGAGUUGUAAACUGCUUUUGUACGAGGGUAAAAUCGGGUACGUGUACCUGAUUGAAAGUAUUGUACGAAUAAGGAUCGGCUAACUCC
This 151-nucleotide ribosomal RNA is filed under the name uncultured bacterium. RNAcentral's name for it is "partial 16S ribosomal RNA". It matches the Rfam family "Bacterial small subunit ribosomal RNA", at positions 356 to 504 of the family's 1533-position model. The record is from RNAcentral.